AUGAGCUUGAGGAGGUUUUUCCGAGCGACCAGGGACGAGGACUUCAGUCAGAUCCAGUAUCUGACGGCCAAAUGCACCAGGCUGGCUCGAGAUAAAGCAGAGCUGGACAGGGAGUGUGUUCUGUCCAGAGAAAAGCAGCGGAUGCUGCAGGAGGAACUGGAAGCUGCAGCUUCUCAGAUCUUUCAUCAGACGCAUCAGAACAUGGAGCUACGGAGGAACCAGGACCGACUGAUCAACAGGAUCCGACAGCAGCAGGAGCUGGUGGAGCUGCUCCAUCAACGUGUGGUCCUCCUGGUGGAGGAGAGCUGUCGGGAUGCAGAGCUGCUACGACAGGUGGGCUCCGAGCUGCUGUGUGUGCAGAACUCUGAGGGGAAGCUGGAGGGCCUGGUGGAGGAGCUGCACCACGAGGCCCAGCGCAGAGCUGCAGAGGCCGAAGGCCUCCAGAUGAAGCUGCACGCAGAGGCCCAGCACAGAGCUGCGCUGACAGAGAGCCUCCUCACAGAGCUGCACGGUAAGACAGUGGAGCUGCAGAAGCUUCAGGCCAUGAACAGAACUCUGACGGACGAGAUGAAGGAUCUACGUAGAUCUCACCACCAGGAGGUGAUGAAGCUGCAGCAGGAGAACAAAGGGAGUCUAAAGAAACUGCAGCAGACAGCAGAGCAGUUUGAGUGGCUUUGUCAGCAGCAGAAACACUGGAUGCUUUGUGUUAAAAGGUUCAAAGACUGUCUGAUGGAGGAGAGGGAAGCUCGAGUACUGGAGAAGAAGACCUUGGAUGACCAAAGACCAUCACCAAGUCUACACUACCGCCCCCUGCUGGACACACAGAACUCUAACAGGCAGGACGACCGAUCAACGGAUACAGGAAACCACCGUGAAGACAGGAGCACGGAGCUCAACCUUCUGUGAACCACAAGAAAACCUCCACAUGUUCGUCCUUCACUGUUUAUCAUCACACCUUUUUUUUCUCCCUUUGAAAACACGACUGAAAUAAAACACAGCACUAAGUUUCUUUCUGUCUUUGU
Molecule: long non-coding RNA, 1022 nt
Filed under: Gouania willdenowi (blunt-snouted clingfish)
Lineage: Eukaryota; Metazoa; Chordata; Actinopteri; Blenniiformes; Gobiesocidae
Description: lncRNA (ENSGWIG00000015479.1)
Source: RNAcentral